UACGUAGGGGGCAAGCGUUGUCCGGAUUUAUUGGGCGUAAAGCGCGUGUAGGCGGCCAGGUAGGUCCGUUGUGAAAACUCGAGGCUCAACCUCGAGACGUCGGUUGAAACCACCUGGCUAGAGUCCGGAAGAGGAGAGUGGAAUUCCCGGUGUAGCGGUGAAAUGCGCAGAUAUCGGGAAGAACACCCGUGGCGAAGGCGGCUCUCUGGGAUGGUACUGACGCUGAGACGCGAAAGCGUGGGGAGCGAACAGG
Molecule: ribosomal RNA, 253 nt
Filed under: uncultured bacterium
Lineage: Bacteria
Description: partial 16S ribosomal RNA
Rfam family: Bacterial small subunit ribosomal RNA
Source: RNAcentral